Oryctolagus cuniculus (rabbit) is the source of this 572-nucleotide non-coding RNA. NCBI's taxonomy places the organism in Eukaryota, Metazoa, Chordata, Mammalia, Lagomorpha, Leporidae. The record is from RefSeq and is a predicted model, not a curated record.
GAGAGACAGAGAAAGAGAUGGCGGAGAGACAGAGUUCUAUCCACUAGUUCACUCCCCAAGUAGCCACAUGGCUAGAGCUGGGCCAGCCUGGAGCCAAGAGCUUCUUCCGGGUCUCCCACAUAGGUGCAAGGGCCCCAACACUUCGGCCAUCUUCAGUUGCUUUCCCAGGCACGUUAGCAGGGAGUUGGACUGGAAGUGGAGCAGCCAGAACUUGACCCAGCACUCAUAUGGCAUGUGGGCACUGCAGAGGACUUGACCUGCUGAGCCACAGUGCCAGCCCUGAAAUUCACAUUUAAAAAACCCUGUAUACCCUUUCACAUGCAAAAAUCUGAAAGGGCCAACAUCCACCAUUUUCAGCAGAAUCUUCCUGAGACCCACCUAUCAGACUCACCAGGGAUCAGUAACACAUCUCUCACAGCAUCUAACUUCCCAGCAAAGGCACCCUCUGCUCUAACCCUCCAGCCGUGCAGGAGCCAGGCUGGACAUCGGUGUCUGUGGAAUUUCGAAACACACGUCGUGAACAGAAUACUGUGAAGCAUCUUUUAUUUAGUCAUUUUUGUUUACAACUGGAA